RNAcentral lists this transfer RNA (65 nucleotides) under Geukensia demissa (ribbed mussel). RNAcentral's name for it is "tRNA-Leu". The record is from RNAcentral. Lineage: Eukaryota; Metazoa; Mollusca; Bivalvia; Mytilida; Mytilidae.
CGUGAUCUGGCAGAAAUAUGUGAUUGAUUUAGGAUCAUUUUAUGAGGUUUAAUACUCGGUCAUAU